This 468-nucleotide ribosomal RNA is filed under the name uncultured bacterium. Its description in RNAcentral is "partial 16S ribosomal RNA". It matches the Rfam family "Bacterial small subunit ribosomal RNA", at positions 28 to 507 of the family's 1533-position model. The record is from RNAcentral.
GACGAACGCUGGCGGCGUGCUUAACACAUGCAAGUCGAACGGAAAGGCCCUGCUUUUGUGGGGUGCUCGAGUGGCGAACGGGUGAGUAACACGUGAGUAACCUGCCCUUGACUUUGGGAUAACUUCAGGAAACUGGGGCUAAUACCGGAUAGGAGCUCCUGCUGCAUGGUGGGGGUUGGAAAGUUUCGGCGGUUGGGGAUGGACUCGCGGCUUAUCAGCUUGUUGGUGGGGUAGUGGCUUACCAAGGCUUUGACGGGUAGCCGGCCUGAGAGGGUGACCGGCCCCAUUGGGCCUGAGAUACGGCCCAGACUCCUACGGGAGGCAGCGGUGGGGAAUAUUGCCCAAUGGGCGGAAGCCUGAUGCAGCAACGCCGCGUGCGGGAUGACGGCCUUCGGGUUGUAAACCGCUUUCGCCUGUGACGAAGCGUGAGUGACGGUAAUGGGUAAAGAAGCACCGGCUAACUACGUG